RNAcentral lists this ribosomal RNA (1386 nucleotides) under Escherichia coli. RNAcentral's name for it is "partial 23S ribosomal RNA". It matches the Rfam family "Bacterial large subunit ribosomal RNA", at positions 144 to 1574 of the family's 2925-position model. The record is from RNAcentral. Lineage: Bacteria; Pseudomonadati; Pseudomonadota; Gammaproteobacteria; Enterobacterales; Enterobacteriaceae.
CACACUAUCAUUAACUGAAUCCAUAGGUUAAUGAGGCGAACCGGGGGAACUGAAACAUCUAAGUACCCCGAGGAAAAGAAAUCAACCGAGAUUCCCCCAGUAGCGGCGAGCGAACGGGGAGCAGCCCAGAGCCUGAAUCAGUGUGUGUGUUAGUGGAAGCGUCUGGAAAGGCGCGCGAUACAGGGUGACAGCCCCGUACACAAAAAUGCACAUACUGUGAGCUCGAUGAGUAGGGCGGGACACGUGGUAUCCUGUCUGAAUAUGGGGGGACCAUCCUCCAAGGCUAAAUACUCCUGACUGACCGAUAGUGAACCAGUACCGUGAGGGAAAGGCGAAAAGAACCCCGGCGAGGGGAGUGAAAAAGAACCUGAAACCGUGUACGUACAAGCAGUGGGAGCCUCUUUAUGGGGUGACUGCGUACCUUUUGUAUAAUGGGUCAGCGACUUAUAUUCUGUAGCAAGGUUAACCGAAUAGGGGAGCCGAAGGGAAACCGAGUCUUAACUGGGCGUUAAGUUGCAGGGUAUAGACCCGAAACCCGGUGAUCUAGCCAUGGGCAGGUUGAAGGUUGGGUAACACUAACUGGAGGACCGAACCGACUAAUGUUGAAAAAUUAGCGGAUGACUUGUGGCUGGGGGUGAAAGGCCAAUCAAACCGGGAGAUAGCUGGUUCUCCCCGAAAGCUAUUUAGGUAGCGCCUCGUGAAUUCAUCUCCGGGGGUAGAGCACUGUUUCGGCAAGGGGGUCAUCCCGACUUACCAACCCGAUGCAAACUGCGAAUACCGGAGAAUGUUAUCACGGGAGACACACGGCGGGUGCUAACGUCCGUCGUGAAGAGGGAAACAACCCAGACCGCCAGCUAAGGUCCCAAAGUCAUGGUUAAGUGGGAAACGAUGUGGGAAGGCCCAGACAGCCAGGAUGUUGGCUUAGAAGCAGCCAUCAUUUAAAGAAAGCGUAAUAGCUCACUGGUCGAGUCGGCCUGCGCGGAAGAUGUAACGGGGCUAAACCAUGCACCGAAGCUGCGGCAGCGACACUAUGUGUUGUUGGGUAGGGGAGCGUUCUGUAAGCCUGUGAAGGUGUGCUGUGAGGUAUGCUGGAGGUAUCAGAAGUGCGAAUGCUGACAUAAGUAACGAUAAAGCGGGUGAAAAGCCCGCUCGCCGGAAGACCAAGGGUUCCUGUCCAACGUUAAUCGGGGCAGGGUGAGUCGACCCCUAAGGCGAGGCCGAAAGGCGUAGUCGAUGGGAAACAGGUUAAUAUUCCUGUACUUGGUGUUACUGCGAAGGGGGGACGGAGAAGGCUAUGUUGGCCGGGCGACGGUUGUCCCGGUUUAAGCGUGUAGGCUGGUUUUCCAGGCAAAUCCGGAAAAUCAAGGCUGAGGCGUGAUGACGAGG